This 433-nucleotide ribosomal RNA is filed under the name Rhodococcus sp. (in: high G+C Gram-positive bacteria). RNAcentral describes it as "bacterial SSU rRNA". It matches the Rfam family "Bacterial small subunit ribosomal RNA", at positions 63 to 509 of the family's 1533-position model. The record is from RNAcentral. Lineage: Bacteria; Bacillati; Actinomycetota; Actinomycetes; Mycobacteriales; Nocardiaceae.
CGAGCGAUAAGNCCUUUNCGGGGUAUCUCKWSCGGCGAACGGGUGAGUAACACGUGGGUGAUCUGCCCUGCACUUCGGGAUAAGCCUGGGAAACUGGGUCUAAUACCGGAUAUGACCUCCUAUCGCAUGGUNGGGGGUGGAAAGAUUUAUCGGUGCAGGAUGGGCCCGCGGCCUAUUCAGCUUGUUGGUGGGGUAAUGGCCUACCAAGGCGACGACGGGUAGCCGACCUGAGAGGGUGACCGGCCACACUGGGACUGAGACACGGCCCAGACUCCUACGGGAGGCAGCAGUGGGGAAUAUUGCAACAAUGGGCGAAAGCCUGAUGCAGCGACGCCGCGUGAGGGAUGACGGCCUUCGGGUUGUAAACCUCUUUCAGCAGGGACGAAGCGCAAGUGACGGUACCUGCAGAAGAAGCACCGGCUAACUACGUGCC